RNAcentral lists this small RNA (98 nucleotides) under Gorilla gorilla gorilla (western lowland gorilla). Its description in RNAcentral is "Y RNA (ENSGGOG00000043015.1)". The record is from RNAcentral. Lineage: Eukaryota; Metazoa; Chordata; Mammalia; Primates; Hominidae.
GACACAAGUGCAGUGGUGUUUACAACUAAUUGGUCAUAACUAGUUACAGUCUUCUUUGCUCCUUCUUCACUCUGACUGUUUCACUUGACUAGCCUAAA